AAUCCAAUUCAAUUGGACUUGAUCCAAAAAUAAUUACUCAAUCAAAUUGAGUUAAUUAGUGAUCAAAUCACUAAUUAAACCUCUCAUAAAUAUUGAGUCCAAAUUUGAUGGGUAAUCGGGCAUCAAAAUUCAUCGAUAUGUAACCCUGAUCGAAGAAUCCCAACCAGUGGGACUCUUGACCCCGGUACCCAUAAUGUGUGGAACUCGUGAUCAGAGAAUCCUGAUUCUCGAUCACUGAGUCCCAAACAUGUAGGAUUCUACAUCAGCCAUUAGAU
Molecule: long non-coding RNA, 275 nt
Filed under: Elaeis guineensis (African oil palm)
Lineage: Eukaryota; Viridiplantae; Streptophyta; Magnoliopsida; Arecales; Arecaceae
Description: long non-coding RNA (EGUI_LNC063770)
Source: RNAcentral